GCAAACUUGGUCAUUUAGAGGAAGUAAAAGUCGUAACAAGGUUUCCGUAGGUGAACCUGCGGAAGGAUCAUUAACGAUAUCUAUAUAUAUAAUGAUAGACCCCCUUUGUGUGUUUGUAAUUACUGAAAAAACAAAAAGGUUUAAUCUCUUUGGGGGAGAUAUCAAAGGAAGGAGUAAUUGGGUAAGUGACUCUUUUUGAUUCUAAACCCUUUUCCCUUUCUCUCCCCCAAGAGAAUAUCUUUUAGAUACACAUUUCUCUUUGUAAGCUAAUUAAUUAUGAUUAAUUUGUAAUGAAUGAUAUAAUAAAAAGAAAAAAAACUUUCAACAACGGAUCUCUUGGCUCUCGCAUCGAUGAAGAACGCAGC
This 365-nucleotide unclassified non-coding RNA is filed under the name uncultured fungus. Its description in RNAcentral is "partial contains small subunit ribosomal RNA, internal transcribed spacer 1, and 5.8S ribosomal RNA". The stretch from base 1 to 73 matches the Rfam family "Eukaryotic small subunit ribosomal RNA", at positions 1759 to 1831 of the family's 1831-position model. The record is from RNAcentral. Lineage: Eukaryota; Fungi.